This 491-nucleotide ribosomal RNA is filed under the name uncultured bacterium. RNAcentral's name for it is "partial 16S ribosomal RNA". It matches the Rfam family "Bacterial small subunit ribosomal RNA", at positions 29 to 506 of the family's 1533-position model. The record is from RNAcentral.
AGUGAACGCUGGCGGUAGGCCUAACACAUGCAAGUCGAACGGCAGCACAGUAAGAGCUUGCUCUUACGGGUGGCGAGUGGCGGACGGGUGAGGAAUACAUCGGAAUCUACUUUUUCGUGGGGGAUAACGUAGGGAAACUUACGCUAAUACCGCAUACGACCUACGGGUGAAAGCAGGGGAUCUUCGGACCUUGCGCGAUUGAAUGAGCCGAUGUCGGAUUAGCUAGUUGGCGGGGUAAGGGCCCACCAAGGCGACGAUCCGUAGCUGGUCUGAGAGGAUGAUCAGCCACACUGGAACUGAGACACGGUCCAGACUCCUACGGGAGGCAGCAGUGGGGAAUAUUGGACAAUGGGCGCAAGCCUGAUCCAGCCAUACCGCGUGGGUGAAGAAGGCCUUCGGGUUGUAAAGCCCUUUUGUUGGGAAAGAAAAGCAGCAGGUUAAUACCCCGCUGUUCUGACGGUACCCAAAGAAUAAGCACCGGCUAACUGCGU